ACUAAUAAGAGGUAGUCGUGGAUCGAGCGGGGUGGAACGAGGCUGCAGAACAGGACUGCGUUCGCUAAGGCUCUGACGAAUAUUGCCUCACAAAAUGGAACCAGCAACCAACCGAGACAUCUCCCAAAUGGUCAGUGAACAGGGAGACCUAUCUCGCCAACACCACGAUCAGCUGGCGCAACUGGGGAUGGUGAUGGAUGAGGUCUUCCGCCUUCUUCAACAUCUAGAUCUUCCCCACAGGGCAUCACCCCAAUGAGCGGAGGAUCCUCUACCAUGGGUUGACCGAGCGAGCCAGCAGCCCAGCACAUUCAGCAGUCUGCCCAGGUCAGCGAUGCCCAUUUGUCCCUUCCAGACAGAUUUGACGGGACCCCAUCCAAAUGCCGUGGCUUCCUUCUCCAGUUUUCCCUCUAUUUCCUCAUAAAAUGGGAGCCCCCACCACCGAGAUGUCCAAGGCUGCCACGGAUAUUUCACUGUUGACUGGGCUGGUGUUGGAAUGGGCUACGGCCGUCUGGGAGAGCGGAGAGGAGAAGCCUGG
Molecule: long non-coding RNA, 535 nt
Filed under: Salmo salar (Atlantic salmon)
Lineage: Eukaryota; Metazoa; Chordata; Actinopteri; Salmoniformes; Salmonidae
Description: lncRNA (ENSSSAG00000089043.1)
Source: RNAcentral